RNAcentral lists this ribosomal RNA (491 nucleotides) under uncultured Paracoccaceae bacterium. Its description in RNAcentral is "bacterial SSU rRNA". It matches the Rfam family "Bacterial small subunit ribosomal RNA", at positions 560 to 1050 of the family's 1533-position model. Lineage: Bacteria; Pseudomonadati; Pseudomonadota; Alphaproteobacteria; Rhodobacterales; Paracoccaceae. The record is from RNAcentral.
GUAAAGCGCACGCAGGCGGUCUGUUAAGCUAGAUGUGAAAGCCCCGCGCUCAACGGUGGGAGGGUCAUUUAGAACUGUCAGUCUUGAGUUCGAGAGAGGUGAGUGGAAUUCCGAGUGUAGAGGUGAAAUUCGUAGAUAUUCGGAGGAACACCAGUGGCGAAGGCGGCUUACUGGCUCGAUACUGACGCUGAGGUGCGAAAGUGUGGGGAGCAAACAGGAUUAGAUACCCUGGUAGUCCACACCGUAAACGAUGAAUGCCAGUCGUCGGGUAGCAUGCUAUUCGGUGACACACCUAACGGAUUAAGCAUUCCGCCUGGGGAGUACGGUCGCAAGAUUAAAACUCAAAUGAAUUGACGGGGGCCCGCACAAGCGGUGGAGCAUGUGGUUUAAUUCGAUGCAACGCGAAGAACCUUACCUACACUUGACAUGCUGAGAAGUUACUAGAGAUAGUUUCGUGCCUUCGGGAACUCAGACACAGGUGCUGCAUGGCU